ACGAAUAGGCCCUGUGCGCUUGGGGCCUACCCGCAGUAAGCCUGCACUUGCAGGUUAGCCUGCAACACACCAACUGAAGCACUGCCACCUCGAGUAGUGCACCGCCAUUGCGUUGGACGAUACACUGCUGCUCCCGGUGGAGGAGGCCCUCCUCCCUUAUUUUUUGUGUCGAGCAUCUUUUUCUCAUCUCUCUUCAUCAUAUUUUGACACUU
This 212-nucleotide long non-coding RNA is filed under the name Carica papaya (papaya). RNAcentral describes it as "long non-coding RNA (CPAP_LNC004763)". The record is from RNAcentral. Lineage: Eukaryota; Viridiplantae; Streptophyta; Magnoliopsida; Brassicales; Caricaceae.